GGUCAGCUGACACAUCCCGGCCAAUCUCCAGCAGACCCUCCCUCACAGACCCUCCUACUUCCUGGACAGCAUUCAUGUUGAAGCUGCCUUCAACAUGGAUGCUGUCCAGGAAGUAGUAGGGUCUGGGAGGGAGGGUCUGCUGGAGAUUGGCCGGGAUGUGUCAGCUGA
This 168-nucleotide microRNA precursor is filed under the name Pelobates cultripes (western spadefoot toad). The record is from RNAcentral. Lineage: Eukaryota; Metazoa; Chordata; Amphibia; Anura; Pelobatidae.